RNAcentral lists this ribosomal RNA (595 nucleotides) under uncultured Gaiella sp. Its description in RNAcentral is "bacterial SSU rRNA". It matches the Rfam family "Bacterial small subunit ribosomal RNA", at positions 329 to 915 of the family's 1533-position model. Lineage: Bacteria; Bacillati; Actinomycetota; Thermoleophilia; Gaiellales; Gaiellaceae. The record is from RNAcentral.
AGAGUCACUCCUACGGGAGGCAGCAGUGGGGAAUCUUGCGCAAUGGUCGAAAGACUGACGCAGCGACGCCGCGUGGGUGAUGAAGGCCUUCGGGUCGUAAAGCCCUGUCGAGGGGGAAGAAUCGGUUGCGACCUAACACGUCGUGAUCCUGACGGUACCCCUAAAGGAAGCACCGGCUAACUCCGUGCCAGCAGCCGCGGUAAUACGUAGGGGGCAAGCGUUGUCCGGAUUUAUUGGGCGUAAAGAGCGUGUAGGCGGCCAGGUAGGUCAGCUGUGAAAACUCGAGGCUCAACCUCGAGACGCCGGUUGAAACCAUCUGGCUAGAGUCCGGAAGAGGAGAGUGGAAUUCCUGGUGUAGCGGUGAAAUGCGCAGAUAUCAGGAAGAACACCCGUGGCUAAGGCGGCUCUCUAGUACGGUACUGACGCUGAGACGCGAAAGCGUGGGGAGCAAACAGGAUUAGAUACCCUGGUAGUCCACGCCGUAAACGAUGUGCGCUGGAUGUUGGGCGGCCUAGCCGUUCAGUGUCGUAGCCAACGCGAUAAGCGCACCGCCUGGGGAGUACGGCCGCAAGGUUAAAACUCAAAGGAAUUGACG